This is a non-coding RNA of Pogona vitticeps (central bearded dragon), 465 nucleotides long. The record is from RefSeq and is a predicted model, not a curated record. NCBI's taxonomy places the organism in Eukaryota, Metazoa, Chordata, Lepidosauria, Squamata, Agamidae.
GCUUUAGCUGCAGAAGGAAGAAAUUCAAAUGAACCAGUGAUUGGGGCUAAAACAGCAGAAUAUUGGGGGCUUAGGAAAAGGAACAGUGAAGCUUUUGGAUUGUACAAGAUGCCUGCUGCCCCAUCUUUGAUAUUAAAGGCACCCUUGCCUUGCUGCCUACUAUGUCAGACACUAGAAGUCACAGCAUAGGAUUUCUUUCUCAAGCCCCCUCCAACGCCAGGAUACACAUUAGCACCGCAAUAUGGAAAUUACCGUGAAUCAUUACAUGGAACCAUGGUCUCUGCAUCACACAUAGAAUCUUGUAUGUAACUGAAUUAUUUUCUCCAUAUGAAGUUGCAAAUAAUUUAAGGAACACUGGCAAAGAUAUGGGGGGAGGGGCUACUUAAAUCUAUGAUCCUAACAGGCCUUCUAUUAUGCAGACAUACAAUUAUGACCAGACAAUAUUUAAAAAACAAAACCACAAAA